RNAcentral lists this long non-coding RNA (279 nucleotides) under Phoenix dactylifera (date palm). Its description in RNAcentral is "long non-coding RNA (PDAC_LNC015671)". The record is from RNAcentral. Lineage: Eukaryota; Viridiplantae; Streptophyta; Magnoliopsida; Arecales; Arecaceae.
GAUCUGAACUGGAUCCAAAAUUUUCUAGGUUGGGUUCGAGUUAUACAUAGACCCGAGUCGAAUGACUCGGAUGAAAAAUUUUUGCCGUGGAUCCGACGUGAUCCCAUCUUCUAUUGGGUUGGGUUUGAGUUCAAAAUUAGGACCCAAACAAGGAACCGGGUUGGGUUGGGGUCACUCAUGACCCAAUCCGAUCGAUUUGCACCCCUAAUUGGAACCACGUACCAUAUAUGCAUAUAUGCCUUGUGAUCAUCCCUGCAGGUUGGAACUGGUCGAGGCAAG